Long non-coding RNA from Ficedula albicollis (Collared flycatcher), 2395 nucleotides. RefSeq lists it as uncharacterized. Lineage: Eukaryota; Metazoa; Chordata; Aves; Passeriformes; Muscicapidae. The transcript is spliced from 2 exons. The record is from RefSeq and is a predicted model, not a curated record.
AAAAAAAGAAAACAGAAGUUAUGUUCAAGGUCAAAUUAUUUCCACAUACAAUUUAAGGGCAGGGGGAGAAUAAGCAAAAGGAGCAGAUGCCUCAGUUCCCAAAACCAUGACAGAAAAACCACUGGAAAAAAUACCUACUGAAUUCCAAUAUGGACAGGGAUCCACAGAAAGGGAUGGGGAACUUGGAGGCUCCCAAUUUGUGCACAGCUGAUUCAAAGCCAGGGUUUGGAGUUCAUGAGAAGGGGACAUGACCUGUUCACUCUAAGAGACUGAGGACAGCUGGAGAAGGCCACAUUUUGGAGUUGACAGAGUUCACUGGUUGUCUGCCUUUCUCUUCUUGGAACAGCCACUCCAAAAAGCCUUUACAAACUUUCUAGCAUGGUGAUGAGGUCCUCAGCUUGGAAGAAUAAACUAAGAGCACUCUUGCUGCAAAGCUGCUGUUCUCCUCUGCUCCCAAACUGCUCCUACUCCCAGUCAAACCCACAGCUUGCCAGCUGACUUGUGGCUCAUUGCCACAUGCUCCCAGCUUCCUUUACACCUGCCUGGCACUUCCUUGGCCUCCCAAGCAGAGCUAGCACAGAGCACAGAACAGCCCCUUAUGAAGCACCUGGCUUCAGGCACAGACACAACUGCCCCCCAGCCUGAGUAACACCAGGGUGUGGCAUCUCCUGGGGCUCUGAGAGCUCAGAAAGGCAGAGACAGAGACCCAAGGAUGCUCCUUGGCAUUCCCACACCUCCCUCCCAGCUGGGUGUACCUGACAGCCUCCUUCAUAAAUCAUUCAUACUUCUGAAUAAAUACCUCCUCUGUUAUCUUCCUGGUACUAAGGAUUAAUUUUGCAUGAGUCUAUGCCUUUACUAUUCUUCAGCAGUGACAGAAAUUCAUUUCUUGGCCAGAUUUUAUGAAUGAUGUUCCAUAUUUAUUUUUGGAUGACAAAAUCAGGCAUUUAGGCAUCUGUCUUUGGUUCUAACACUAUUUUUCUUCUCUGAUAAACAGUGUGUUGCAAUCUAUCCAUACCUGUAAUUUACAACCUUUUUUGAGUUUAAAAUAAGAUCAUGAUGAACAUUUUAUAUGAAGCAAGGUGGUGAACAGGAGAGUUCAUUGACUUUUCAACCCUGGAAUCACCCAAACAGUUUUACAUUCCAAAUAAAACAUUUGGUAGGUUUCACACCAGUCUUUUACCACGGAAUACCAAAAUGUUGCUGUUGGGAAAAACUGAAUUUAUUAAAGCAGUAUAUUUUAAAAAUUGGCUCCAGCACCACAUAGCUGGCAACAAGGAAAAAGCAAUCUAAGGCAGCAUGUAAAAAACUGUUCUCUAGUUAGACUGUGUAUUUUUAAUAACUGCCUCCAACAGACCACCCUAAGACAAUGAUUGCAAGCACAGAAAGCCUGAUUGUUCAAAGGUCAUGUAAAUAAAACGUAGAUGUUGAAAUGGAACCUCCCACUAUUCACCUCCAACCUAUUCUUUUCAUCUUUUUCUGCUUAUUUUACUUGUUUCUCUCCUGGUGUCCUUCUCAUUGAUGUUUUCCUUCAGUACCACCCUCUUUGCCUCCCAGAACCAGCUGUGCUUUUAGCUUCAAUGGCAGAAUAGGAACUGUUGAGAGAUCUUUUAAUCUUUCACAUGCCACUUGCACAAGGACAGGCUACUCACUACUCAGAGAACUAUGAAAACAGGAAAAAUAGUAGAUUAAUUACGCUGGAUCACUGAAAAAUGCAAGAAUCUCUUACUCCUGUUGUCCUGCAGUAAAAUACAUGAAGUACUUCCUGGCUUAUACUCUCUCUAAAGGAUGUUCACUAAAAGACAGUGUCAAUGUACUGUCAUUUCUUUGGCUUCUUGGGUCCAAGAUUUUGUCAAUGUCUCUUGUUGUAGGCUGAAAUGUAUUACAACUUUAUCAUUAUUUUCCUUACUAAAAAUGAAACAAGUUGCCAAAAUUUCCACGCACCCAUAAUUAACUGCCCCUUUGAGAACAAAGAGGAUGCAUUUUUAAAAUGUUUUUAUUGCCUUAGUAAUGCAUGUUACAAAAAAAAUGUCUUCUGCAGCAAAACACACAAAGAACAGGAAUGAGUGCAAAGCAAACAAAUCAGAAAGUAAAUUAUCUAUGAAACCACUUAUUUCAAUGCAGCAGGGAACAGUAAAGUUUUGAAACAGUUUUUCCUCCACCAGAGAAUGCAGAACUUACUGGAGUUCCUGACAUAAGUCAAAAUAUUGCACUCAACCAAGAUUUCAAUUCCUUCCUCCCAGAGAGACCUACACAUUGUCCUCACAACAUGUUUAUUUUGUUGGAAUAGAAGAAAAACUUAGAAAAACUUUAGUCCUGAGAAAGACUGCAACCUGCUCUGUCGUGCCAAGGCAAUGGCUGUGCAAUGUGCUCUCUUCAAGGGAAAGACAAGGACAAC